AUAUUUUUCUAGGAAUAUUCUAUUAUUUUACACCCCUAAUAGCUAUUGAUGUUGUCUUGUUUUGAUAUUUUUAGUCUUGGAUAGCUGUUCUGAAGGGGUUAAAUCAGUGAAGUUUUUUUUUUGCUUUGGUCCACUAUGAUCGCGUGAGAGUCAAAUUUUAGUAAGGCUGAUAGGAGGGAGGGAGGGAGCGAAGUAAUUUUUAGGGUCCUAACUGGCACUCGACGGGGUCAUAAAAAACAAAAUGAACAAGAACGGGGUGGGGGAGGGACAAUCCUGAAUUGUCCUAUUUUUUUCCAUGGACCAGGCGGUGUUGAUUGAUUAAUUGAAGUGCCAUUUGCUUGUGAAAUUUUCAAAGAGAGCAGCCACCUUGUCUGUUCCGAAUCAACGUAUCCUUGCUUCUUAAACUAAUAUUCUCUAAUAUUUUUGUUUUUUCAGGUCCUGACCAACGGGAUCGCAAGCAGCCGCCUACUCCACAUGCAGCAGAGUAAUUUGAAAAAUAAAAACCAAAUCUAUCUGCCAGUUAAGUGAGUUUUUUUAAAUUAAUAAUUCAAAAAUUUAUUGCUUGAUUAAUUAAUUUAAGGAAGUCUUAACCCGACAACGGAAUUAUGAAUUUGCCUCAUAGUGAAGGAACGAUGAAGUGCCUAAAUGUUAAAUGAGUGAAUGUUAAAAUCUCCAACCAAUCAUAUCACUGGAUACUGCACGCUUUACUAUCACACUAACACUAAUGAUCGGUGGUGUGAAGGUAUUCCGAUCAUUCGCUCGAUUUGGAUGCAAUGUAACCGGCAUCGAUCAAUAUGUGUAUAGAGCUGAUCGAUGAGUUUACCGUUAUCCACAGAUGUCCAUGCGUGUUGUCAGGUGUGCUAUGUUCCUGUGACACAAACACCGAUAAACAAGCCAUUAGUACAUCUUUCGCCUCGCACGCGCUUCACUUUUGCUCACAUUUCGGGUUUCGGUCGCAUCGAAAGAUCACGUGUUCGGGUCGUAAUGGCGAGGACGAUUGGAUGGAACUAGAUAACCGGAUUUCAGUGCGUGCAAAUUAUAUCGUAAUUUGUGACUAUCAUAAUCGUAUUAUAAUAGUGAGUGAAAUUGUAAGCCGUUUAGUGAUAUUUAGUGCGUAAAUUUCCUACAUUUUGGUAGUGAAAUGUGAAAUGAAAUGUGGUUGUGAAAAGUGAAAUGUAGAGUGUUCAGUUCCUGCGUUAUCUGUGUGUGUAUAUCGGUGAUUUUUAGUGAAAAAUUCGUUUUUAGUGCGUAACUUUCUUUUAUUCUGUUAGUGAAACAUGUAAUGUACAGUUUUCAGUUCCUUAUGUGAUGCUGGGAGAGCUUGAUUUGACCGGUAACAGGCAGCGUGAGCAAAGGAGAAAAUGUACGCGUUUAAACAUGCGCAAAACAUGGUCCUAACCGAUGCUGCCGGUGCGCCAUCCCAUCGAUCCAUCGUACGAUCCCAACCGGACAGGAAGAAGUUAGGAAAGAGGCUGGGAGGAGGGGAAAAAUCGAGCGAAAAAAAAUAUAUAUCUAUGGACACAAGUUGCUCCUUUUUUUCGUGUCCCCAUUCGUCUAUCUACUCUGCUCAGAAGGUAAAGCAAAAAAAAAAACAAACCGUGGAAAAGAAACAGCACCUUCAACAAGGCGACUGCGUGAUUUUCUUUUCCUUCCCAACCCGGUAACUGGUACGCUUCAUGCUUCCCUUUUAUUAAUCGUUGCCUCGAUGAAGAUAGUGGGUGGAAUUGAAGAAGCACGGCACGGGACGGGAAGAUAAUGGAAGGUGCGGGUGGGAUGGUUGUAACCGAGAGAUGCGUUUCGGGUCGAUCGUGUCGACGGUUGAGCUUAGAUCAGCGCAUAAUCUUUCACCACCUUUUAUUUCCCAAGCACCACCCAAAACUACCCCUUAUCCUGCGGGUCUAAUUCACGAUCCUAUGCUGCGAUGGUUUAUUUUUUUCUUUCUUCUCUUUUCUCUUUUUUGUUUUUGCUCGGACAGCUAGCAUGCUUCUUCCUUUUGACAACACCACCUCCAACCCCUUUUCCCUUCCCCCAAUCCCCCUCCACCAAAAACCGCUUCGACCUCCCCCUUAUCGGUUCAUCAACUGGUGAAUCACGAUCGACCGCCCUCAGCGCAACGCGGGCGUCGAUUUUCCCAACCAUUACGAACCCCCGGUAACCGCACAACUAGGACCCACGCUAGGAAAAAAAGGGAAGCGAGACGGUUAAUUCCUUGCACCACGUUUCUUACCUCCCCCCCGGCAAACCCGAUACCGUGGAGUUUUGUGGAAAAGCGAAGCUCCCCCAUUCCGCCCCCUCCUUAUAACCACACGAUGGGGCUGGACAGCUCUAGGGUGAAGAAAAUCUAUAGCGAAAACCCAUCCCGUGAAAGCAGAAACGUUUGCGGAAGGUCAGUUAACGACACACGGAACACACGCGAUGCCGCGAGUGCGAGUAUAAGCGAUCUUAAUCAAAAAAUCGUUUAUACCGCACAAUACGCGUACUGAAUGUUGCCCGGAAGGUAACGAGCUCUAUAUUCGGAACGUUCUGCCCAAACCGAACGAGCGCUGGCUGCACUCCGAUGUCAAAAGAUUUUGCGGGCGGAAACUUAACACCGUUAGAAAGUCGAGCUUUCUGUGCUAAAUAAAAGCAAAUCAACUCAAUCCUUGUUUAUAUUGGACAAUUAAACCACCCACGGCUGAGUUGCUGCAUAACCGUACAGGUAAGUACUGAGUCGAAAUGUCAAACCUCUUACCAUGCCUAGGUUCGAGACCCGAAAUAGACGAAACUUUUUACUUUCCCGAUUUUGAUAAUAUGGGAGCAUUUACUAAAUUGAAAAAUCGGAUUUAUUGGAAAACUGGAUUUAAUUGGAAGAUGAGAAGUAGGGGAUAGUGCACACGAAGUACUGCAUUACAUUUAAUUUUUUUUAUUAAUUCUCUGUCUUUCUAUUUUAUCAAAACUGGAUUUGACCAUUAUAAAGCGAAAGUAUUUAACCCUGUUUUUGUUAUUCACUUGCACCCCAGCCCAUUUUUGUAGUGGGUAGUGUAUUCCAUAAAAUUAUCGUACGUCCAUUAUGCAACGGCAUGGAUCGAACUCCACCGAUUAAC
This is a long non-coding RNA of Anopheles funestus (African malaria mosquito), 3083 nucleotides long. RefSeq lists it as uncharacterized. The record is from RefSeq and is a predicted model, not a curated record. The transcript has 3 exons. NCBI's taxonomy places the organism in Eukaryota, Metazoa, Arthropoda, Insecta, Diptera, Culicidae.